GACGAACGCUGGCGGCGUGCUUAACACAUGCCAGUCGAACGGAAAGGCCCUGCUUUUGUGGGGUGCUCGAGUGGCGAACGGGUGAGUAACACGUGAGUAACCUGCCCUUGACUUUGGGAUAACUUCAGGAAACUGGGGCUAAUACCGGAUAGGAGCUCCUGCUGCAUGGUGGGGGUUGGAAAGUUUCGGCGGUUGGGGAUGGACUCGCGGCUUAUCAGCUUGUUGGUGGGGUAGUGGCUUACCAAGGCUUUGACGGGUAGCCGGCCUGAGAGGGUGACCGGCCACAUUGGGACUGAGAUACGGCCCAGACUCCUACGGGAGGCAGCAGUGGGGAAUAUUGCACAAUGGGCGGAAGCCUGAUGCAGCAACGCCGCGUGCGGGAUGACGGCCUUCGGGUUGUAAACCGCUUUCGCCUGUGACGAAGCGUGAGUGACGGUAAUGGGUAAAGAACCACCGGCUAACUACGUG
This 468-nucleotide ribosomal RNA is filed under the name uncultured bacterium. RNAcentral's name for it is "partial 16S ribosomal RNA". It matches the Rfam family "Bacterial small subunit ribosomal RNA", at positions 28 to 507 of the family's 1533-position model. The record is from RNAcentral.